ACUUGGGUGGGAAGGGAUUAACAGUUGAAUUAUCUGGAUCUACUGUAAACCAACCUUCGACUGGCAGUUUUACGGGCGGACGGCUGGGGUUUUCAAGGUCUUGGAGAGACGGGGAUCCGUUUCGGGAGUUCGCUUUUGGUCCUUGGUGAACAUCAAACGGUUCACUGAUGCAGUUACGGUCAGCUUUUGCGGUCAUUCCAGAGCAACGCGCGGUGCGAUCUUCCAACCGGUUUCUUCGAGUCGCCAGCAAAAAACCGGAGAGGGAGAAGAUGGCAAAGUGGGAAUUUAUCGGAGGUUUGGAAUAUCCCGAGUUUUAUUGAAGAGCCGGGGAAAACCAGCGGUCUGAAAUUUAAUAGAAAUGAAUG
Long non-coding RNA from Pristis pectinata (smalltooth sawfish), 365 nucleotides. RefSeq lists it as uncharacterized. The record is from RefSeq and is a predicted model, not a curated record. NCBI's taxonomy places the organism in Eukaryota, Metazoa, Chordata, Chondrichthyes, Rhinopristiformes, Pristidae. The transcript has 3 exons.